This 504-nucleotide ribosomal RNA is filed under the name uncultured bacterium. Its description in RNAcentral is "bacterial SSU rRNA". It matches the Rfam family "Bacterial small subunit ribosomal RNA", at positions 107 to 607 of the family's 1533-position model. The record is from RNAcentral.
UGAGUAAUGUCUGGGAAACUGCCUGAUGGAGGGGGAUAACUACUGGAAACGGUAGCUAAUACCGCAUAACGUCGCAAGACCAAAGAGGGGGACCUUCGGGCCUCUUGCCAUCAGAUGUGCCCAGAUGGGAUUAGCUAGUAGGUGGGGUAAUGGCUCACCUAGGCGACGAUCCCUAGCUGGUCUGAGAGGAUGACCAGCCACACUGGAACUGAGACACGGUCCAGACUCCUACGGGAGGCAGCAGUGGGGAAUAUUGCACAAUGGGCGCAAGCCUGAUGCAGCCAUGCCGCGUGUGUGAAGAAGGCCUUCGGGUUGUAAAGCACUUUCAGCGAGGAGGAAGGUGGUGAGCUUAAUACGCCCAUCAAUUGACGUUACUCGCAGAAGAAGCACCGGCUAACUCCGUGCCAGCAGCCGCGGUAAUACGGAGGGUGCAAGCGUUAAUCGGAAUUACUGGGCGUAAAGCGCACGCAGGCGGUUUGUUAAGUCAGAUGUGAAAUCCCCGGG